RNAcentral lists this ribosomal RNA (842 nucleotides) under uncultured bacterium. RNAcentral describes it as "bacterial SSU rRNA". It matches the Rfam family "Bacterial small subunit ribosomal RNA", at positions 1 to 847 of the family's 1533-position model. The record is from RNAcentral.
UAGAGUUUGAUCCUGGCUCAGAUUGAACGCUGGCGGCAGGCUUAACACAUGCAAGUCGAACGAUGACUCUCUAGCUUGCUAGAGAAGAUUAGUGGCGGACGGGUGAGUAACAUUUAGGAAUCUGCCUAGUAGUGGGGGAUAGCUCGGGGAAACUCGAAUUAAUACCGCAUACGACCUACGGGUGAAAGGGGGCGCAAGCUCUUGCUAUUAGAUGAGCCUGAAUCAGAUUAGCUAGUUGGUGGGGUAAAGGCCCACCAAGGCGACGAUCUGUAACUGGUCUGAGAGGAUGAUCAGUCACACCGGAACUGAGACACAGUCCGGACUCCUACGGGAGGCAGCAGUGGGGAAUAUUGGACAAUGGGGGCAACCCUGAUCCAGCCAUGCCGCGUGUGUGAAGAAGGCCUUUUGGUUGUAAAGCACUUUAAGCAGGGAGGAGAGGCUAAUGGUUAAUACCCAUCAGAUUAGACGUUACCUGCAGAAUAAGCACCGGCUAACUCUGUGCCAGCAGCCGCGGUAAUACAGAGGGUGCGAGCGUUAAUCGGAAUUACUGGGCGUAAAGCGAGUGUAGGUGGCUCAUUAAGUCACAUGUGAAAUCCCCGGGCUUAACCUGGGAACUGCAUGUGAUACUGGUGGUGCUAGAAUAUGUGAGAGGGAAGUAGAAUUCCAGGUGUAGCGGUGAAAUGCGUAGAGAUCUGGAGGAAUACCGAUGGCGAAGGCAGCUUCCUGGCAUAAUAUUGACACUGAGAUUCGAAAGCGUGGGUAGCAAACAGGAUUAGAUACCCUGGUAGUCCACGCCGUAAACGAUGUCUACUAGCCGUUGGGGUCCUUGAGACUUUAGUGGC